This 1902-nucleotide ribosomal RNA is filed under the name Diachea subsessilis. Its description in RNAcentral is "SSU rRNA". It matches the Rfam family "Eukaryotic small subunit ribosomal RNA". Lineage: Eukaryota; Evosea; Eumycetozoa; Stemonitida; Stemonitidae. The record is from RNAcentral.
UUCUCCUAAAGACUAAGCCAUGCAUGCCUUCGAAUAAGAGGAAGCAAUUCUCUCUGAAUCUGCGAACGGCUCCGCAAACCAGUUGUAAACUACAGCAAGCCCGCUUGGGCCUGGCCUUCACGGGUCGGGUUCAGGCAAUACGGAUAACCCUGGUAAUUCUGAGGCUAAUACGAGAACGUAACCCCUGGCCGACCGGCAACGGAAGGCUGGGGAACGUGUGACAAUCUCGCGAGGAAUCUUGCCGGGAAUCGGGUGCACGUUCAGACCGCGCUACAAAGGAAUGGUCGCCCCGUUAAACGGGCGGCUUGCCCUAGCGGCUCUUGCGUUGUGCUUCUGACCUAUCAACUAGAUGGCAGCGUAACGGACAUGCUAUGGUGACAACGGGUACAGAGGAUUAGGGUUCGAUCCUGGAGAGUGGGCCUGAGAGAUUGCUCAUACUUCUAAGGAAGGCAGCAGGCGCGCAACGUUCCCCUUGGGCAAUGCUCGAGGGCGUUAGGGGACAUAUGAAUGCCUGCCCUUUGGGUGGGCAAUUCAAAUGGGUCUGUUGUAAACGGGCUCUCGAGUAACAAUUAGAGGACAAGUCUGGUGCCAGCACCCGCGGUAAUUCCAGCUCUAAUAGCAUACGUUAAAGUUGUUGCAGUUAAAACGCUCGUAGUCGGCUUCAGGUCAUCAGAAGCCGGCGUCGGAAGCCUGGGUUCGCUGCCCUUCGGGGCGCACUGGGUGACUGGCAAAGGUAGGCGGUGGUCAAGCGUGCUUCAGGCUGCCUUCUUCGGAAGUCGCAGGGCCGUCGGCGUCUUCACGGGCGCCUUCGGUUCGGCUUGGGGUGCCACUUACUGUGAUUAAACUGGCGUGAUCAAAGCAGGCCGCUCGGUCACUGCACAGCGCAGCACAGCAUAAGUUAAGCCGGCUUAGUCCUUCCUCGUGGGGGCUGGGUUGGCAGAAGCAAAAGGGGUGUUCGAGGGUGACCGAAUUGCUGGGCGAGUGGUGAAAUACGUUGACCCUAGCAAGUCGACCAAAGGCGAAAGCAGUCAUCAAGGGCACGCCCGUUGAUCAAGAGCGAAAGUUAAGGGUUCGAAGACGAUCAGAUACCGUCGUAGUCUUAACUAUAAAUGAUACUGACCAGCGAUAGGACUCCGUCCAUCUUGACUUCUCCCGGAGCUUAGAGAAAUCAAAGUCUUUGGGUUCUGGGGGGAGUAUGGUCGCAAGGCUGAAACUUAAAGGAAUUGACGGAAGGGCACACAAAGAGUGGAACCUGCGGCUUAAUUUGACUCAACACGGGAAAACUCACCAGGUCCAGAUACACGUAUGAAAGACAAGCUGAAAGACUUUUCUCAAUGAUGUAAGUGGUGGUGCAUGGUCGUUCUUAGUUCGUGGAGUGAUUUGUCUGGUCUAUUCCGAUAACGAGCGAGACCCCUACGUCCCUAAUAGGGGCGGCAGCCCGGCUUGCUCCCUUCACGGGGGGCUUGCUAGCAGCCGUCAUAGAAAUAGCUUCUUAGGCGUAUCAGAGCCGAUAAGGUUCUUGAAAUGGGUUAAUAACAGGUCAGUCAUGCCCUUAGAUGUUCUGGGCCGCACGCGCGUUACAAUGGCAUGGAGAGAAAGUGCCCGUCAGGGGCGUAUCCGCGGCCUACAGGUCGCGGUAACCCCUAGUCCCUGCCUUGACUGGGACAGACUAUUGCAAUUAUUGGUCUCAAACGAGGAAUUUUUAGUAGUCGCCGGUCAUUAACCGGCGACGAAUGCGUCCCUGCCCUUUGUACACACCGCCCGUCGCUGCUACCGAUUGGGUUUUGCGGUUACGAGUCCAGAGGCCUGCGGCUCGCUACUUGCUCACGCAGGUGGUAACCGUGGCCGAAGUUCUAAUUACCGCACGGUCUAGAGGAAGCAGAAGUCGUAACAAGGUAAUCG